Long non-coding RNA from Thrips palmi, 483 nucleotides. RefSeq lists it as uncharacterized. The record is from RefSeq and is a predicted model, not a curated record. NCBI's taxonomy places the organism in Eukaryota, Metazoa, Arthropoda, Insecta, Thysanoptera, Thripidae. The transcript is spliced from 3 exons.
GGUAUUUCCUGAAUAGACUUUGCCAUCCAACAUUUUGCGAUUUGGAGUGUGUUCAGGAACUCGCCAACAGGACGUGUUUCCGGCGAGUGAUUGACAUCUGUGCCACUCGCCACCCAGCCGGCGCGCCGCGGGACCCCAGCCUCCCACGAGGCGAAGCAACUGCCGAAUCAUUCUCAACCCCCAAGUGAGGCGCUGUAGUCCAGUGAUUGGCCCCGAAGCCAAGCUGCCGUCCGGGCAGCGGCGCAGCACCGCGGCAAAGGCAGCCCCAAAGCCGUCGACUCCUCGACGGGCAGUCGCAGAGCCGCGCGUCACACUCAGAAAGGUGUUUCAGACGCACGCAAAAAAUACAAAUCAGCUAGAUUCUUUGCAUCGUAAUUUAUCGCCACCAGGGCAUCCAGCGCGUCCGCUUGUUUAUCUGGGUCUCUCGUCUCGGGUGCCGGGUUCCGGAUACCCGGUCCGCGGCCGGGUCACCGUGUUCUGUCC